GACGAACGCUGGCGGCGUGCUUAACACAUGCAAGUCGAACGGUAAGGCCCUUCGGGGUACACGAGUGGCGAACGGGUGAGUAACACGUGGGUGAUCUGCCCUGCACUUCGGGAUAAGCCUGGGAAACUGGGUCUAAUGCCGGAUAGGACCACUGCCUGCAUGGGUGGUGGUGGAAAGCUUUUGCGGUGUGGGAUGGGCCCGCGGCCUAUCAGCUUGUUGGUGGGGUGAUGGCCUACCAAGGCGACGACGGGUAGCCGGCCUGAGAGGGUGACCGGCCACACUGGGACUGAGAUACGGCCCAGACUCCUACGGGAGGCAGCAGUGGGGAAUAUUGCACAAUGGGCGCAAGCCUGAUGCAGCGACGCCGCGUGAGGAUGACGGCCUUCGGGUUGUAAACCUCUUUCAGCACCGACGAAGCGCAAGUGACGGUAGGUGCAGAAGAAGGACCGGCCAACUACGUGCCAGCAGCCGCAGUAA
This 477-nucleotide ribosomal RNA is filed under the name uncultured bacterium. RNAcentral's name for it is "partial 16S ribosomal RNA". It matches the Rfam family "Bacterial small subunit ribosomal RNA", at positions 28 to 523 of the family's 1533-position model. The record is from RNAcentral.